This 309-nucleotide long non-coding RNA is filed under the name Olea europaea (common olive). RNAcentral describes it as "long non-coding RNA (OEUR_LNC014903)". The record is from RNAcentral. Lineage: Eukaryota; Viridiplantae; Streptophyta; Magnoliopsida; Lamiales; Oleaceae.
AGGCUAUAAAUGCUCGCAACCUCCAUUUAUCAAGCCACUUUUCAUUAGCCCCUUUUAAUUCUUGUCAUGCCACUCACCCUCUUUUUGAGCAGCUCUGGCCGUCAGUGAAGCGCAGAUUAUUUGCGACUGACGCCAAUCGUGCCUUUCAUUUAUUAGACCAACCGAGCAUUUCUUUCCCUCCUCCUGUUUUAGUCACUCCCUUGUCCAUUCGGAGUCCUUCUCCUUCUCGUCGCACUAAACAGUCUGCUCGUCCAUCUUCUUCUCUCCCUGCCAAGCCUACUACGGCCAAGAGUGCCCCAAGCCGCAAAC